CGGGCACUUCGGUGUCAGCGGCGGACGGGUGAGUAACGCGUGGGAACGUGCCUUCUGGUUCGGAAUAACUCAGGGAAACUUGAGCUAAUACCGGAUACGCCCUUUUGGGGAAAGGUUUACUGCCGGAAGAUCGGCCCGCGUCUGAUUAGCUAGUUGGUGGGGUAAUGGCCUACCAAGGCGACGAUCAGUAGCUGGUCUGAGAGGAUGAUCAGCCACACUGGGACUGAGACACGGCCCAG
RNAcentral lists this ribosomal RNA (239 nucleotides) under uncultured bacterium. Its description in RNAcentral is "partial 16S ribosomal RNA". It matches the Rfam family "Bacterial small subunit ribosomal RNA", at positions 67 to 334 of the family's 1533-position model. The record is from RNAcentral.